This 756-nucleotide ribosomal RNA is filed under the name uncultured bacterium. Its description in RNAcentral is "bacterial SSU rRNA". It matches the Rfam family "Bacterial small subunit ribosomal RNA", at positions 60 to 803 of the family's 1533-position model. The record is from RNAcentral.
AGUCGUGGGGCAGCAUGUCCCGCAGCAAUGCGGGAUGAUGGCGACCGGCAAACGGGUGCGGAACACGUACACAACCUUCCUUUUAGUGGGGAAUAGCCCGGGGAAACCCGGAUUAAUACCCCGUAACAUAAUGAAGUGGCAUCACUUUAUUAUUAUAGCAGCAAUGCGCUUUAAGAUGGGUGUGCGACUGAUCAGGCAGUUGGCGGGGUAACGGCCCACCAAACCUACGAUCAGUAACUGGUGUGAGAGCACGACCAGUCACACGGGCACUGAGACACGGGCCCGACUCCUACGGGAGGCAGCAGUAAGGAAUAUUGGUCAAUGGACGCAAGUCUGAACCAGCCAUGCCGCGUGGAGGAUGAAGGUCCUCUGGAUUGUAAACUUCUUUUAUCUGGGAAGAAAUCCACGAAUUCUUUUGUGGUUGACGGUACCAGAUGAAUAAGCACCGGCUAACUCCGUGCCAGCAGCCGCGGUAAUACGGAGGGUGCAAGCGUUAUCCGGAUUCACUGGGUUUAAAGGGUGCGUAGGUGGGCAGGUAAGUCAGUGGUGAAAUCUCCGGGCUUAACUCGGAAACUGCCAUUGAUACUAUCUGUCUUGAAUACCGUGGAGGUUAGCGGAAUAUGUCAUGUAGCGGUGAAAUGCUUAGAUAUGACAUAGAACACCAAUUGCGAAGGCAGCUGGCUACACGAAUAUUGACACUGAUGCACGAAAGCGUGGGGAUCAAACAGGAUUAGAUACCCUGGUAGUCCACGCCCU